Molecule: long non-coding RNA, 1847 nt
Organism: Mustela erminea (ermine)
Lineage: Eukaryota; Metazoa; Chordata; Mammalia; Carnivora; Mustelidae
Exons: 3
Source: RefSeq, a predicted model, not a curated record
UUCGUCAAACAUAAUGUCUCCCAAGUAUCACCUGCUCUACUUUCUCCCACUGUUUCCUACCACCUGACAAACUGAUCUUCUUGGUUUCCAGAAUCUUCUAGAAUGAUACUACACCUUAUGAAGCCAUUUUAAGAUUGAGGAAAAUCAAUGUUAGCUUUCCCUGUCAGGCAAGACUGUCCCUUUCUUCACCAUGACAGAGGUAUUACAGUACAUGGUCAGAAACUGGAAAAGAGUUUUACUAUUUUUUUAUUCUCUAUCGAGUGCAAUGCCAAGCAACAUUCAGAUGUUAUCCUCACCUUUCCCAGACUUCCAAAGCUAGGAUUUUUUGAUGAGUAAAUAACCCUGGGCUUCAGUAUUGGCAUCACAUGCUUAGUAAAUUGAAUGUAAACAAAGAAGUUUAGCCUGCAGUGGAACACCGAGUUCUUUGGGGGGGGUGGGGGGUGCCAGUGAGAUGGGAAUGUGAUGACUUUUAUUUCCUCACUUAAGUCAAACAUAUAAUACCGAGUUAUAACUUUUUUUUUUUUUUUUUUUUGCCUUGUUUGGUGUAUGAGGAUAAAAGCAAUUUGUUGAAAAAUAUAUCCCAAAAGAAUAAGUAAGCAGGCUUCAAAAUCAAGAGCCUUAAGAAUGGGAUUGGCAGCGCUCAGCUCUCAAUGCAGGUAGGUACUUGAUUUUUUGGAAGAUAGACAUUGAAACUUAAGAAUUUUUUUUUUUUUAAAUGAACUAUAGUCAUGGCCUCUUUCUGUCUUUACAUCCUGAGAGAAGGAAGUACCAAAAUGUGAUGGUGACAGGAGUUCUCAAGCCCCGUUAUGAGAUUUAUUUUCCUCAGAGUUCUCUGGUAAUGGAUUGCCUUGACACUUGGCCUUGGAUGGUCCUGCAGCCUUUUCCAGGAUGGAUCGUGGCUUCCUUUAUGUCAUCUUUAAAAUGGAUUAUAAUCGGCUCUGUUCAGAUUCCUGUCGGAAUCGCAUGUGAUGAUGCUGCUGAUGAUAACUGGCCUGCAGCAUUUAGCAGGUAGCGCACCGGUGGCUUCCAUGUGUGGCUGCAUUCCCUUUCCAUUCGAUAGUGAGUGCCACUCUAAAAACUCUUGAUGAAGUAAGUUUUUGUGACGGUUUCAAUUAAAUUGUACACAGAGCUGGGUUUCAGCUAUGCUGGGAGAUUCAUGGUAAACUGCGGGAGCUGGCCUCUCCACCCAUCUGAUUUCAGCAGUUGAUUUGCAUUGGGGGGUGGGAGUUGCUGCCUUUGAGGAAGUGGGGAAAGAAAUACAAAUGGAUUAGAUUAGAGUCCAGUGGAGACGGAGGGAAACUGCAGACUGAAUCUGAUGGAGUAAGCUGGUAGGGGGAGGCCUCCAGGACAGUGGGGUACCUGUGAUGCUCUGCUGGUGGCCACAGGGUCAAGCCCAACAUGUAGAAGGGAAGAGAGACAAUUCUGCUCCCCUGUGAAUGGGGCACGCCCCCACCGUGGCACUACCAUCAGUCGGCAGCCCAAUACAGCAGACCAUUGGAGAUGACCCACUUGAAAGCGUUCUGGUGUCCGCAUGAUGGACAUCUAUGACAGGCACUUCUCUGAUACUGGUUUGAGGGACUGGAGGAGCAAAAUAAGAGUCAGAGCAAGCUUCAUGGUGAAUGAGCCUGAGAGGUGAAUUCAUAAACUGUGGAUCAACAAACAUAAACAGGUGGUCCUUUGCAGAGUACUAAUGUUUAUGUACCAAGACAUGGAUGCAAUGCAUGUGGGAUCUUAACAUCAGUAAAUACCUCCUUUGGACCUAAGGCUGGUAAGGUCCAGAGAAGGGAUUUUAGCUAAGCAGCGGUAAGUUUCUUGGGGUGCCUGACUGGUUCAGUCAGAAGAGCAUG